UGUCCAGUUGUCCCUGGCACUGAGGAGCCCAGAACUGGGCACAGGGCUCCAGGUGGGGCCUCACCAGUGCUGAGCAAGAAAGGAAGCACCACCUCCCUUGACCUGAUGGCGAUACUUUGCCUAAUGCAGCCAAGAAUACUGUUAGCCUUCUUGGCAGCAAUAGCUUGGCAAGGAAGAAGAGGAAGCAAGGAAGACGCUGUGCCGUUCCUGCCUCCCCAUCCUCUCUUCUUCACCCACAGAAGCUGACGGCCCCACCAGGCUCUUGCAGUUUACCGCUGCCUUGCCUUUGCCCUUUCUGCACCAGCAUGGACCAGCGCUGCCCAGCCCUCUACAAGAAAACACAGCUGCUGCCCGUGACGUGCAGCCCAGAUGCCUCUGACUCAUGCUCCUGCCAUGGGAACACCUUCCUUCACUAAUCAGUCCCCGGCACCACCUGGGGACAGGGGUGUCCCCAAACUGCCAGCCCCCAGGGGACCGCGGGGAGGUUGGGCUCCAGCUCCUGGUUCUCCCUCUUCUUCCCUCCACCUUACAAUGGGGCUGACCCUGACUCUUGGGAAGGACACCUGGGCGUUCUUCACUGGGGAGAAGGCGUGAUUAAGAGCGUAAAUGAUCCGGCUGACUUCCGUGGGAGUGCCUGGAUGUGUGGUUGAACUUGUGCCCGCAGCUUGACAAGAGUGAAACUUCCACAUGGGCUCGCCCGUGCCCUGAUGAAACAGCACACAAGGAACUCGGUUCCAGAUUACACCAACUCGUUCUUUUUCCUCCUAUCAUGGCAGGCCAAACCAGUACACAGCUACUGAUUUUAAACCCAGGUUUGAAACCAGUUCUCCAAACGCCUCUCGCACCCCGGUGCAAAGAUAGUUGUGCAAAGCAUAAUUGGUGUAAUAAAGCCCAGGAUAAUAACA
This is a long non-coding RNA of Cygnus olor (mute swan), 905 nucleotides long. RefSeq lists it as uncharacterized. NCBI's taxonomy places the organism in Eukaryota, Metazoa, Chordata, Aves, Anseriformes, Anatidae. The record is from RefSeq and is a predicted model, not a curated record. The transcript is spliced from 2 exons.